This 383-nucleotide ribosomal RNA is filed under the name uncultured eukaryote. RNAcentral's name for it is "partial 18S ribosomal RNA". It matches the Rfam family "Eukaryotic small subunit ribosomal RNA", at positions 592 to 976 of the family's 1831-position model. The record is from RNAcentral.
CCAUAGCGUAUAUUAAAGUUGUUGCAGUUAAAAAGCUCGUAGUUGGAUUUCUGGUGGGAGCGAUCGGUCUGGCGCUUAGCGCGAGUACUUGCAUCGUCUCCGGCCAUCCUUGGGGAAAGUCUGUCUGGCAUUAAGUUGUCGGGCAGAGGAUCCUCAUCGUUUACUGUGAAAAAAUUAGAGUGUUCAAAGCAGGCUUAUGCCGUUGAAUAUAUUAGCAUGGAAUAAUAAGAUAGGACUUUGGUACUAUUUUGUUGGUUUGCGCACCAAAGUAAUGAUUAAUAGGGACAGUUGGGGGUAUUCGUAUUCCGUUGUCAGAGGUGAAAUUCUUGGAUUUACGGAAGACGAACUACUGCGAAAGCAUUUACCAAGGAUGUUUUCAUUAA